ACCAGGGACUGCUGGAUAGGUUUAAAUACUGGAGGCAGUUGGGUUAUUUAAUCUCUAAGAGGACAGCAGGUUGUAUGUGAAUGCUGGGAAGAGGAAAUGCUGUUCCUCACUGAUGUGUCUCUUCACUGAUCUGAUUAUGCCAGCUCAUGAAUCACAGUGGUGUAUUUACAUUUCUAAACCAUAUUAUGCUUUGCCUAAAAUCUUUGCGUAAUUGGCAAUCAGUAUUACUCAUUAUAUACAACAUGAAAGAGGGAAAUGCUUCCUCCUUUGGAAAAGCAGCAUAUCCUUAGUCUUAGGGCUCACAAAGGGCUUCGUACAAGGACUAACGUUACGUUCCUCAGUACAGAAUGAAGUCACGCUGGAUUACACAACACUCUUAAAUCCAGUUCUGGCACAGCUUGUCUUCCAGAGAUCAGAGACUGAAGAGACUUGGAGUUCCAACUUCAUUUUGGCCAAACCCAGUAGAGGACUGAGGUGGCUCAAGGGUAGUGCUUGGAGGCUCUGCUCACCAUUUGCUCCAAGGGUGCAACCAGCUGCCUCUCUGCCCCAGUGCUGGAGCAGCUGCAUGUCCCCAUUGCAGCAUGGCUGAUGCUUGGGCCUACUGAGCGCUUGAGGGGAUUUGUGCCUGGGGAGAGCAUCCCCAUGUCACUAUGGAGGCAGCCAUUGUAGAGGUGUGGAGAGACCACACCUCCAAGCUCCAAGGACUUUCCACAGUCAGUUUUUGUCCCUCUCAGUCCUAAUCCUGAUGCCAUUGGCACGCUUCUGACCUGAGGAUAGAGGCAAGACUAUCUCCCCAGUGGGGGGCAGCUGCUCCAGAAAUGAAGCAAGAGCAAAGGUGAGAGGGAAACAACUGCACACAGCCAGUUCAGGAGCAGAGGUUAACUCAGGGGACUCUUUUUUCCUCUCCUUUCCAAGCAGGAGUUUGAGAUUCCCACUUUCUCUCUCCCCAGUCUCAAAGAUGUGGAAAACUUCUGCUCUUCUCACAGCAUCUUUUUCUCUGGCCUCAAAUGUGCUGCAGCAUCUGCAAAGUCUUCCUUGCGGGGUUAGAAAUAUGAACUCUGUGCACUUGAAAGGAAGGAAACUUCCUCAAAGCCCACAGGAAUUUCAGUUUGGACCUGGUGUUGAGAUAAUAGACUUAGAAAGUUUGGACAUGAAGUUAGGAGUGUUACAUGGGCUCAUUUCAGAAGUUCUGGGAACUGCCUGUGAUGGCACAGCUGGACUGAUGGUAACUGAAGCACAGACUUUGCGAGUGAAGGAAUGUGGAAAACAGAGUUCAUAAAAUGAGACUGUUUUACAG
Molecule: long non-coding RNA, 1297 nt
Organism: Gallus gallus (chicken)
Lineage: Eukaryota; Metazoa; Chordata; Aves; Galliformes; Phasianidae
Source: Ensembl